UACGUAGGGGUCGAGCGUUGUCCGGACUUACUGGGCGUAAAGAGCGUGUAGGCGGCCAUACAGGUCCGUUGUGAAAACUGGAGGCUCAACCUCCAGACGUCGACGGAAACCGUAUGGCUAGAGUCCGGAAGAGGAGAGUGGAAUUCCUGGUGUAGCGGUGAAAUGCGCAGAUAUCAGGAAGAACACCCGUGGCGAAGGCGGCUCUCUGGGACGGUACUGACGCUGAGACACGAAAGCGUGGGUAGCAAACAGG
Molecule: ribosomal RNA, 253 nt
Filed under: uncultured bacterium
Lineage: Bacteria
Description: partial 16S ribosomal RNA
Rfam family: Bacterial small subunit ribosomal RNA
Source: RNAcentral